CCUACGGGGGGCUGCAGUGGGGAAUAUUGGACAAUGGGGGCAACCCUGAUCCAGCCAUGCCGCGUGUGUGAAGAAGGCCCUCGGGUUGUAAAGCACUUUCAGUGAGGAAGAACGCCUGGUGGUGAAUACCCAUCAGGAAAGACAUCACUCACAGAAGAAGCACCGGCUAACUCCGUGCCAGCAGCCGCGGUAAUACGGAGGGUGCGAGCGUUAAUCGGAAUUACUGGGCGUAAAGCGCGCGUAGGUGGCUUGAUAAGCCGGUUGUGAAAGCCCCGGGCUCAACCUGGGAACGGCAUCCGGAACUGUCAAGCUAGAGUGCAGGAGAGGAAGGUAGAAUUCCCGGUGUAGCGGUGAAAUGCGUAGAGAUCGGGAGGAAUACCAGUGGCGAAGGCGGCCUUCUGGACUGACACUGACACUGAGGUGCGAAAGCGUGGGUAGCAAACAGGAUUAGAUACCCUAGUAGUC
This 465-nucleotide ribosomal RNA is filed under the name Vreelandella stevensii. RNAcentral describes it as "partial 16S ribosomal RNA". It matches the Rfam family "Bacterial small subunit ribosomal RNA", at positions 338 to 795 of the family's 1533-position model. The record is from RNAcentral. Lineage: Bacteria; Pseudomonadati; Pseudomonadota; Gammaproteobacteria; Oceanospirillales; Halomonadaceae.